Non-coding RNA from Chiloscyllium plagiosum (whitespotted bambooshark), 1470 nucleotides. NCBI's taxonomy places the organism in Eukaryota, Metazoa, Chordata, Chondrichthyes, Orectolobiformes, Hemiscylliidae. The record is from RefSeq and is a predicted model, not a curated record.
CAUGCAGUUGGACAUUGGUUUUUUGGUUUUCAGCUGGGAUAAUUAUGCUGAGGAAAAGGCAGCCUGACUCAUCUGUCUCCCAUUUCUGCAAACUCCUUGUUGUACAUCCAUUGUGGAACCUGGAAGACUGAUCAAACUGCAUGCAUGAGAAAUUUCUAAGAAUCAACAAUAGUUGCUGGCAGAUAUUACUACAGCUCGUGUAAGCUUCUGACACUUUCAACGCCAACAUAACUAACAUCUGGUAUAAAUCCAUUUGAAGUACUGAACAUUUAAUACCAGACAACUGCAAAGGAACAAAUAAAAAAAAUCCACAGGGAUCAACCAUUUUAAUGUUUUGCACAGAAGGAGAAUGCUACUGGAUGGAAAAAUAUCCCACUGCAACCACCCUGUCAUGGUUCAGAUAGCUCCCCUGUAGAGACAUUCAAUCAAAAUUGCAGGUCAGGUCCGGAUGACAUUAUUCAACUAAAUCUAUAUAUUGAAAACAGUAUCCUGCUCCCAUCCCAAGGUGCCUGCUCAUCUGACCACUUUCAGCCAGGCAGCGUUGCUUAAAAUUUGGGUAAAAAUCUUGUUUGGGCAAGUAAUGCAGUAAAUUGGAAUCUACUCCAAAAGUUCACUUUCAAGAUGUAAUCCUCACUUCUGAGGACCUAAUCACAUGCCUAUAUCUGUAAUAAAGAUGUCUACAAGUGUGUUGUAAUUAAUUUCCUUGUAAUAUUAAAAAAAGUUUAUUCCACCUGUGAGCAAAUUACCUGAGCAAUCUUAAAAUGUGUUACUUGUGAAGUUAAUUUUGAUUUCAACACAUAUUGCUCCUUACACAAGCAAUAUGAUCAGUUUCUCAUCAAAGCUUACUGUUUAUUUUCAUUCACACUAUCAAGCAACCCAUGAACAUAAAUCAUGUUUCUGCUUUUAAAAAAAUAUUAAAAUCAUAGCAGCAUAAUCAGCAAAAGUACAAACAAAAAUAUGGAUUACGAUGGGUCAAACAGAAGGUUUAUUUGAUUCGGUUAACUGCAUUCAUUGAUGCUGCAACGUUAGGGGGAGAACUUCUCAUAUGUAAAUGGGUCAGUGACAUCAUAGUAACAGCCAUCCUUUAUGGAUUAGGUAAUUGGUUCCCAAAAACUUUAAAGAUAAAAUAAGAAAUAAUGUGACAUCAUUGCAAGAAGCAAGAGUGAAGCGGAAUUAAAUUUAAAAAUAGAUAACUAAGUAAAAAAGCCAUUUAAAAGAAAAUUGUCUUAAAAUUUGCUAAAAAUCCAGAUCAAGACUGCAACACAUUUAAGUUGUGAUCUCUUAACGAGUUGGUAAAAUUAAAAAUGUUUUUAUUUCAUGAAACAUUUAAAAAAAUCUAUUGCUUAACCCAUGCUCAAAACUAUAACCUUGAAGCUAUAGAGUUCCAUUAUUUAUCAACUGAGAUUUCUCAUAUGCUGCCUUUUUUAAUUUGUUCAACAAUUUUAGAUUAUGUUAGAUUAGAUUCCCUAC